RNAcentral lists this long non-coding RNA (5584 nucleotides) under Mizuhopecten yessoensis (Yesso scallop). RNAcentral describes it as "uncharacterized LOC110451140". Lineage: Eukaryota; Metazoa; Mollusca; Bivalvia; Pectinida; Pectinidae. The record is from RNAcentral.
AUAUAGCAACCAACGCCCAACGCGCUCAUACCAGGCAAAACUAGUGGAAGGAGGCAGAGCGUGUGACUUCACAGACACAAGGACAUUUUGAAAUGAACAUUUCUAUUUGUUUCAGAGUGAAAUUGUGACAUUUCUCACCAAUGACGGUUAAGAUUUGCCGAGUUUUUCAUAGGGUAUCGUUUUUUUACAAUGGGAGAGUCAAUAAUGCCGAAGAAAAAUUGGAAAAACAGGAGCGGUUGUGAAAAUCCAAUAUGGCGUCAGGUUGGAUCGGCGGAUGUGGCGUCAAUAUUAGAAAGGGGACCUUGCCGAAGUUAUUGCUGUAUAGUCAAAGAAAUUAAGAAUGGUUUGGGAAGUCAUGAAGUUUUGUUUUUGAAAUUCAAAUCUCUAUAUGGUAAUGUAUGACGCAGAUUUAUAGUAAGGCAUUAUUUUUUGUCGAGUAUUUGUUUGGUUUGCAAGUUGGUAUUUGUAUAAAUGUAGGGACGAGUUGAUAAUUAAGGAGUCGAGUUAUAUGAUAUACAUGGCGUCUGGUUGGAUCGGCUGAUCUUGCGUCAAUAUUAGAAAGGGGACCUUGCCGAAGUAAUUGCUGUAUAGUCCUAAGAAAUUGAGAAUGGUUUGGGAAGGCGCGAAGUUUUGUUUUUGAAAUUCAAAUCUCUGGUAAUGCAUGUCGCAAAUUUAUAAUAUGGCAUUAAUUAUUGUAAAAAGUACGGACUCCGUGGGUUUGCAAGUUGGUAUUUAUAUAAAUGUAGGGACGAGUUUAUAAUUAAGGAGUAGACUUGUAUAAUAUACAUGGGUAUUGUUCCGUCCAACAAAUAUAUUUCGGUCAAAGUCAAGAAUGGGGCACAAGUACUGGUUUCAAGGAAGAGAUAUGAGAGGAUAUACACAUUAAUUAUUAAAUAUGUUAUAUUGUCGUUUUAGCUGUAUACUUUGUUUGAAUAAAGAACACAAAUUUAUCUUUAUAUUCUUUUUUAGUUGUUGAUGUAUAAGUAUGCAAUUACUGUUUAAACAUGUCUUCCUUUCUAUUGUUAGCAAUACCCAUGACUGGCAUGUGUGGCCUUCUUCAUAAUCCGGUCAUCCAGGGGUCUUAAACCAAAGGACUGCACAAGUCUGUUGGGGGUUGUGUUUGGGCAAGUGACAGACUACAGUUGUUCAGUUUCCUGACCGUAUAGAAUCGUCGCCCCAUUGCUGACGACCAGUCACAGAAAUAUAUCAUGUCCCACCUGGUCCUGGCAAGAGUCUUGGCUUAGCCGUUGACCUCUUCAUCAGCUAUCCGAACCAUGUCCUGAUCACAUCUAAGCCGUUGGUGCAUAGCGUGCAGCCAGGUUCAUGGUCUGACCUCCACAAAUCCAUUAUUUGAUGACAUGAUGAUUCAGCACUGCAAAUUUCUAGUCCAGAGAACAGCUGUCCCAGCCUUUCAUCAGAAAUUUGUGAUGUUGAAAAUGCAAUUCAAAGAGUGGGCAUAAUCCAUUGUGAUUGCAAGUGUGGACAUGGUGCAACUACAAAGUGCUCUUCUCUGAAAUAGCAAAGACUUCCAUGUUAAGCUAGCAUGGUGCCGACUUUGAAUAGAACACCCAUAGUAGGCCCAAGUGAGGACUACAGCACACAUCUCUUCCACAUUGCUGUUUGCAGAAAUGUUGAAUCUAGUCCAGAGUUUGUCGAUGGCCUGCUUUACAGUCUUUCCCCGACAUAAAAAGAUUUAAUCGUGACCUGUCCAUUUUGCCUGUCCAUGUUUAACUUGAAAAUACUGAUGACCUGAUGGUUCACCAUGAUUGAUAUUGGGUGCGAGCAGAUUCAACAAUCGCCAAGAUGUCCGGUCUUUGACAAAAUGGGUGGUUUGGUGUUGUAUUAUAUAUUAAUACUCAAAUUUCGAAUUUUGGUCGGUUAAACUGGACAUAGUACAAAACAAUCUUGACAGUUAUAUAUAUAUGUAAACUUGAAAAUCUAAUUUCUAUAUUCUUGCAUACAUCUUGAAGACAUUUUGUUUGACAUGUCCAUAGCAACUUGUUAAAUACAAAAAAGUGUGUGCAUACUACAGCUUUCCAUCAUUUUUUGGUUCAGUGUUGAUGGUAAAUAUAUAUACACAAUGCAUGCAAAUUCCAAUAGUUGAAAGACUGUUUAGUGUGCAAUAUUUUCCUUUUUAUAGAAAAUUUAUUUGAAAAGGGCGUUUAAAGUUGGCAGAGAUUGAAGUUCAAGUGAAGACUAGUGCUUGGAUAUUUGAAGGUGUUGGAGUGACUACCAGUGACCAUAUUUCAAAUGUCCAUUCUCCCAUGUCCGAGUAGACCAGAUUGACUCUUUCUAUUCUGCUGUAUAAUGUGAUCACCCAGGAACCAUUUUGGUGGUAUCUUUUCGUUAGCUAAAUGUUGUGUUGCAAGCAAAAAAAUAGUGCAUGCUAUUACGGCAUUUAUUCCUGUUAAUUUUUUAAAUUGGGACCUGUACAAUAAUUUCUAAUUCGGACAGCAAUGUCCUUGCAUAUUCAUAAAUGGAAAGUACACAAAUUUUGUCCCGUUUAAUUCUUUGAAUCUUGAUUGUUUCUGUUUACUACUGCAUAUCUUGUAAAAAUUUGCUCUGCAGUCUUGAAUGGCCGUGGCAAGAUUGAAAGUUGGGAUUUCAUUGGCAAGUAAUUUAGUCCGACCUGCCGCUGUUGGCUGGGGCAACUGAACAAGGACAGUCGACUUGUAGAAGUAAAUAUGGAAAAUCAGAUUAUCAGAGAAGGUAGAUGUUCGUCUCCAAUACUUAUAGUGUCUGAAGUGUUCUACAGACCAGGGCAGUUGAAGGUUUGUAAAUUGUAAAACUAUGAUGCAUGCUGAGCAAAAUUGGAUCCAUAUUGCAUUUAAGUUGUGAUUAUGUAAUAUAGGAAAUAGAUAUGCUCGUGCAAGACAUGACAAUAUUGGGAUUCAAUGUCCUUGGAUCUUGAAGACUAUUCCUUAUUUUUGGAACCAUUUGUCCAGGUAAUAAUAGAAUUCAAAAUUCUCAUGUUUUGUUUCGUGUGGUUUGGUUACAUUCAAUUUUAAAUCAUGCAGGCAUUUGUCAGCUCUGUUGAUUUCACGAAACAAACCCCCAUUUUUCAAUCGUAGAAUGUUUGGCAAUUAAUCCAAUCAAUCCUUAGUUUUGUGUUUGGUUUUUGUUUUCUAUGCUUUUUAUAGCAAAGUUCUGAAAUUGCAAGUCCUCGAGUGCAGUCCACAAUCCUUGGGAACACAUUUACCAGAGAGUCGGCAACCUUUUCCAACACGCUACCCUUAAUUAAUGCAAGUAGUAAGGUAAUUUCAGUUUACACCAAAGCUUUACAGCACAUCAACAAAGGGAACUUGUAAAAUGGUUAGGAAAUUGUCAAGGUACCGAGCUGAAGUUUGUUGAUUUCACGAAACAAACCCCCAUUUUUCAAUCGUAGAAUGAUUGGCAAUUAAUCCAAUCAAUCUUUAGCUUUGUGUUUGGUUUUUGUUUUCUAUGCUUUUUAUAGCAAAGUUCUGAAAUUGCAAGUCCUUGAGUGCAGUCCACAAUCCUUGGGAACACAUUUACCAGAGAGGUUGCCAACACUCUACCCUUAAUUAAUACAAGUAGUAAGGUAAUUUCAGUUUACACCAAAGCUUUACAGCACAUCAACAAUGGGAACUUGUAAAAUGGUUAGGAAAUUGUCGAGGUAUAAAGCUUAAGUUUCAAGAAAAGGGCAUUUAACCAUGGAAUUGGAAACCGACAUGGUUUAUGCUAUAGGAGUGAUGCAGUGGUAAGGCAUUAACGGGCCCUUUUGUUGCAAGUCUUCCAUGUAACUCCAUGAUUCGAGUGGAAUGGCAUUAUCGACCCAUUUAUUUUUCAUAGCGGUACUACACAAUUAGUAAUUAGGACAUCUUGUGUAUAAAAUGCUUUAUAAAUGACGUGAGUAGCAUCUAGGGCACUGUCGGCAGUUGACCACUCCCAUUUCCCCCAUGUAAAGUAUGCAGUGAUUGAAGAAAAUAAAAACUGAAUUUGAAAUAAAGUAAUUUCUCCAGUGAACAAUAAAUAUGCCUUCCCGUUGACGUAGCUUUAAUUUUAGAUCUACUGGAAACGCCAUACAGGUAGUUUGAACUGAACGCUGAGGGAAAACUGCUAUUCUUCUUCAUGCAAAUAUUGGACCAAAAGAACAUGCACAUGAAAACGAGUCAUCUCGCAAGAAAUUUGAAAAGGAAAAAUUCAGCUAGAUGAUGCACAGUAGACACUGGAAAGCAUGCUGCUGAAUAUUAUUAGGGGAAAGGACCAAAUGCAAUAGGAAUCUAUGCACAUCUAACAGAAAUGGACUGGGUCGAUCGCUGGUUGAGUUGUGAAGGUCCCAGGUUCUAUCCCCGAUUUGGCUGUGCAUUCCUCUCCUGUUGAACACAUUUCAUUUGGUAACGGUUUCACAAAAUAAAGGAAGAAUGACGCAUGAUUUCACACUGGUUGGUAAUUCAGAACAUACUUUACCAUCAAGCAAGAGUUUGAGGUAAGACAUGGACAAUUAUUUCCUAAUAGAAGAUAAUCUUGUAAACUUAGGUGGAAUUGUGUAGGAAUGUAACAUUCAGAUUAAUAAAUUCAAUGCAUUAGGGAUGAGGAAAUUGAACAGAUGGACAGUAAUAUUUAUUGUGGUUGAAUGUAGGUUCAUCUUUAAUGGAACAUGGUUAUUGAAGCAUCAGUUAUUCGGGUUGACAUGAUGCAAAAAUUGAAGAUCAAAUUAAAAAAAUAUUGUUUGUUACCUUGAUUGUUUUUCUUGUAAAACAAUUUUAUGUAAAAGUAAAAAUGUGAACACCAUUUGAUUUAAUUUUUAAGAAAUGCUGACAUUGAAUUUUAAAAUCUGAAAUUUAAUGGUUUGUCAAGUUUAAAACUUCCACCAUAGAAAAUUGAGCUUAUUGGCCAACUUUUUCAUGUCUUUUUCGUUUGUCGGUGUGCUAACAUUAAUAAUUUAUCGAUAAUAAAAACACCUGGAGGAUAUUGGAAUGCCAAGUCCAGCUGGUAGUUCUAGUAGGGCUCAACACUGAAGAUUGAAUACUGGGAGAUGUUUCUGGUACAUAGUACAAAGAAAACCUGUUCUAGAGUGCAAGCUGAAAAGGUAUAUAUAUUCUACUUGUUGAUGGACAAAUGUUAUCAAAUACUAUGCCAAUGUGUGUGAAAAAAUGAAACUGAACCAUAUAACCAAAAUACAAAAAAUGGUGAAAACACAAGACUGGCCGAUACAAAAGACCGGCAUGAACAAACUCGAGUAGAGCACUGUAUGACCAUAUAUGUAUGGUCACCAAAAAUUCAACUCUUUCUGGGACUGAGGUAAAACUAGACUAAUGCUACAUAAAUGGGAACAACACUACUAGGGGUAAUGGUACAACAGCAGGACCAACACAACUGAGGCGCCACUAAACUAAUGGGGGUAAUGGAACAACAGCAGGACCAACACAACUGAGGCGCAACUAAACUAAUGGGGGUAAUGGUACAACAUCAGGACCAACGCAACCGAGGGAAUUGGUACAACUACAGGACCGACACUACCGAGGGAAAUGGUACAACUACAGGACCGACACUACUGAGGGAAAUGGUACAACUACAAGACCAACACUUCUGAGGGAAAUGGUACAACUACAAGACCAACACU